GAUGAACGCUGGCGGCGUGCUUAACACAUGCAAGUCGAACGAUGAAGCCCAGCUUGCUGGGUCGAUUAGUGGCGAACGGGUGAGUAACACGUGAGUAACCUGCCCUUGACUCUGGGAUAAGCCCGGGAAACUGGGUCUAAUACCGGAUAGGAGCGCCUGUCGCAUGACGGGUGCUGGAAAGAUUUUUCGGUCAUGGAUGGACUCGCGGCCUAUCAGCUUGUUGGUGAGGUAAUGGCUCACCAAGGCGACGACGGGUAGCCGGCCUGAGAGGGUGACCGGCCACACUGGGACUGAGACACGGCCCAGACUCCUACGGGAGGCAGCAGUGGGGAAUAUUGCACAAUGGGCGGAAGCCUGAUGCAGCGACGCCGCGUGAGGGAUGACGGCCUUCGGGUUGUAAACCUCUUUCAGUAGGGAAGAAGCGGAAGUGACGGUACCUGCAGAAGAAGCACCGGCUAACUACGUG
RNAcentral lists this ribosomal RNA (466 nucleotides) under uncultured bacterium. Its description in RNAcentral is "partial 16S ribosomal RNA". It matches the Rfam family "Bacterial small subunit ribosomal RNA", at positions 28 to 507 of the family's 1533-position model. The record is from RNAcentral.